GACGAACGCUGGCGGCGUGCUUAACACAUGCAAGUCGAACGGAAAGGCCCUGCUUGCAGGGUACUCGAGUGGCGAACGGGUGAGUAACACGUGGGUGAUCUGCCCUGCACUUCGGGAUAAGCCUGGGAAACUGGGUCUAAUACCGGAUAGGAGCCAUUUUUAGUGUGAUGGUUGGAAAGUUUUUUCGGUGUAGGAUGAGCUCGCGGCCUAUCAGCUUGUUGGUGGGGUAAUGGCCUACCAAGGCGGCGACGGGUAGCCGGCCUGAGAGGGUGGACGGCCACAUUGGGACUGAGAUACGGUCCAGACUCCGACGGGAGGCAGCAGUGGGGAAUAUUGCACAAUGGGCGCAAGCCUGAUGCAGCGACGCCGCGUGGGGGAUGACGGCCUUCGGGUUGUAAACUCCUUUCGCUAGGGACGAAGCUUUUUGUGACGGUACCUAGAUAAGAAGCACCGGCUAACUACGUG
This 465-nucleotide ribosomal RNA is filed under the name uncultured bacterium. RNAcentral's name for it is "partial 16S ribosomal RNA". It matches the Rfam family "Bacterial small subunit ribosomal RNA", at positions 28 to 507 of the family's 1533-position model. The record is from RNAcentral.